AUUGAACGCUGGCGGCAGGCCUAACACAUGCAAGUCGAGCGGAUGAAGGGAGCUUGCUCCUGGAUUCAGCGGCGGACGGGUGAGUAAUGCCUAGGAAUCUGCCUGGUAGUGGGGGAUAACGUCCGGAAACGGGCGCUAAUACCGCAUACGUCCUGAGGGAGAAAGUGGGGGAUCUUCGGACCUCACGCUAUCAGAUGAGCCUAGGUGGGAUUAGCUAGUUGGUGGGGUAAAGGCCUACCAAGGCGACGAUCCGUAACUGGUCUGAGAGGAUGAUCAGUCACACUGGAGCUGAGACACGGUCCAGACUCCUACGGGAGGCAGCAGUGGGGAAUAUUGGACAAUGGGCGAAAGCCUGAUCCAGCCAUGGCGCGUGUGUGAAGAAGGUCUUCGGAUUGUAAAGCACUUUAAGUUGGGAGGAAGGGCAGUAAGUUAAUACCUUGCUGUUUUGACGUUACCAACAGAAUAAGCACCGGCUAACUUCGU
Molecule: ribosomal RNA, 483 nt
Filed under: uncultured bacterium
Lineage: Bacteria
Description: partial 16S ribosomal RNA
Rfam family: Bacterial small subunit ribosomal RNA
Source: RNAcentral